Mesocricetus auratus (golden hamster) is the source of this 2017-nucleotide long non-coding RNA. RefSeq lists it as uncharacterized. The record is from RefSeq and is a predicted model, not a curated record. NCBI's taxonomy places the organism in Eukaryota, Metazoa, Chordata, Mammalia, Rodentia, Cricetidae. The transcript is spliced from 2 exons.
CUGGGGACUCGGGGGAAAGAGGAAGCUGGGGAAUUGAGUAAGCAUAUUCAACUGCUGUGAGCUUUGCCCAAAGAGGAGGGACUGCAGAGACAGCUUCAUUUAAAAAUAGACUGCUUACAGAGACAAGGAGCUGGCGGAGUGACGGGGCACUGGCAGCUGGCAUGGACGCCACCGAGAGGGGCUGAAGCUGGGGCAGAUGCACCAUAAAUGCAGAGAUGGGAAUUAUGUGACUGGAAUACCUCAUUGCAUUCUGCCGUGUUUCACUUCACGAUGAGCACGCCGGUAGGAAGGGAUGCUGGAAUACACUGUUCUAGAUACUGCACAGGAGGCUAGAGAGGGAUGCAGACAGCACAGACCACGGCUGCGUGUAAAAUCCCCAUCACACUGCUUAUGGAAACUACGUCACUGGAGGCCAUGAGCUUCCGCAUCUAUCUUCCCUAAAUGACGCAUCUUCCCUCUGGAGACCAUAAACCACUAGGAUUUCUCAGUCACCCAUGUGCAAGCAUGACAGAGGCUCUGAAAUCGACAUCGCAACUGCAGAGACCCUCCUGGAGGACAGUAACAACGAGAUCACCAAAGACAGGUUCUACAAGAAACUGCCACUGAAUCCAAGAGCAACCCCAUAGGGGCGUGGACCGAUCCAUCCCAGCGCCAUUACAUAAGAGGAAGAAAUCUGAUGCUCAAGAGAAACUAAACUGCUUAGUGAUCUCAUUCUUACCAGAAAAAUUAUCUGCUGGAAAAAUCCUUCAAGGUCAACCUUGGCAAAAAUUAAAAAAUAAUGAAAAGCAUUCAUCCCUAAGGCAGAGUGAGACUGUUCAAUUUGAAGCAAUGCACUGUAUAUUUUAUUAGCUAUAACUCCUUUAAUUAUUCAUGACAUCUCUUCUGAUAUUCCAUACAGAAACCUCACAUUGCUCAGAUUUCUAUCUGCAGCCUUUUGUAAAAUUUCCUUUCUUACUCAAGGGCCUUAGGAGCCUAAAGCUCUCUACCUGGCACUACCCACUGAAUGCUAACAUACAUUAAAGUCAGACUCCGAAGGAAAAACAGUCGGAGAGGGAGUGAGAAGAGAAAGACCCACAGACACACCAAACCGCUGAUAAGCCACCCUCCAGUGCCAUCUGCACUCUGCUGCUGCCUGGGACACUAUGCAGCCCCAAAUGCUGCAGAAAGCAUGCUAGGACACUGUCCCAGGCCCAUGCAUCACUUCCUGUCAUCUGAGAGGCUCUAAUGCUAACUGCUCGGCUUGCUUCCUGCUGCAUCUUGCCCCAAAGAUGCACUUUUCCCACCUCCCACGGGUUUAAUUAUCUGCUGAUUUCUGAUGGAUGGGUAUGCCAAAAAGUUGUGCCCCAUGGAAGGGGACCCAGGAUAGAGAAUCUCAGGCAGUUCCUCACUGGAAUAUUGAUAUCCACACAGGCUUGCCGCUAAUCCCUAGCCUGAAGACAGUAGAAACAUAAAUACCGCCAGUGAACCCUGGGAAAUAUUAGUUCCUCUCAUUCAUAUGAAUUCCAAGCUUUCCUUCCCUCUAUCCACCGUUCUGAAUCUGAAGGUCCCAAGCAUAAUCCAAUUAGCACCAAAAUUAAUGGGGCCACAUUUCUGAGUGGCCAGGGGACCAAGACAUGGCUUUUGUCUCAGAGGGGAUAGUUCCGGUUAAUUCCAUGCCUCAGCUUUCAUGUAAUAAGGCCAGCGACAGUGGCAGUGAUAGGUAUGAAAGACUCUGUGGUAGUUUUGAAAGAAAAUGGCUCCCCUAGGAAGUGGCACUACUAGGAGGUGUGGCUUGUUGGAGUAGGUGUGGCCUUGUUGGAAGAAGUGUGUCACUGUGGGGGUGGGCUUUGAGGUCUCCUAUGCUCAAGCUAUGUCCAGUGGGUGGUACAGAGAUACUUCCGGUUCCCUGUGGAUCAAUAUGUAGAACUCUCAGCAGCUUCUCCGGUACCACGUCUGUCUGCACACCACCGUGUCCCACCAUGAUGAUAGUGGACCAAACCUCUAAACUGCAAGCCAGUCCCGAUUAAAUGUUUUCCUA